UACGGAGGGUGCAAGCGUUACUCGGAAUCACUGGGCGUAAAGAGCGCGUAGGCGGGAUAGCAAGUCAGAUGUGAAAUCCUAUGGCUUAACCAUAGAACUGCAUUUGAAACUGUUAUUCUAGAGUAUGGGAGAGGUAGGUGGAAUUCUUGGUGUAGGGGUAAAAUCCGUAGAGAUCAAGAGGAAUACUCAUUGCGAAGGCGACCUACUGGAACAUUAUUGACGCUGAGGAACGAAAGCCAGGGGAGCAAAUGGG
RNAcentral lists this ribosomal RNA (253 nucleotides) under uncultured Helicobacteraceae bacterium. RNAcentral describes it as "partial 16S ribosomal RNA". It matches the Rfam family "Bacterial small subunit ribosomal RNA", at positions 524 to 776 of the family's 1533-position model. Lineage: Bacteria; Pseudomonadati; Campylobacterota; Epsilonproteobacteria; Campylobacterales; Helicobacteraceae. The record is from RNAcentral.